CGAGAAAGCCCGCAAGGGUGAGUACAGCGGCGCACGGGUGCGUAACACGUGGGUAAUCUGCCCUGAAGCCCGGAAUAACUCCCCGAAAGGGGUGCUAAUGCCGGAUGAGCCCACGGGGUCUUCGGACCCUGAGGGAAAAGGUGGCCUCUGUAUACAAGCUAUCACUUCAGGAUGAGCCCGCGGCCCAUCAGCUCGUUGGCGGGGUAAUGGCCCACCAAGGCUACGACGGGUAGCUGGUCUGAGAGGACGAUCAGCCACACUGGAACUGAGACACGGUCCAGACUCCUACGGGAGGCAGCAGUGGGGAAUCUUGCGCAAUGGGCGAAAGCCUGACGCAGCAACGCCGCGUGUGUGAUGAAGGUCUUCGGAUCGUAAAGCACUGUCGCGAGGGACG
This 394-nucleotide ribosomal RNA is filed under the name uncultured Anaeromyxobacter sp. RNAcentral describes it as "bacterial SSU rRNA". It matches the Rfam family "Bacterial small subunit ribosomal RNA", at positions 67 to 447 of the family's 1533-position model. The record is from RNAcentral. Lineage: Bacteria; Pseudomonadati; Myxococcota; Myxococcia; Myxococcales; Anaeromyxobacteraceae.